UACACUCCUGCGGGAGGCAGCAGUGGGGAAUAUUGGACAAUGGGCGCAAGCCUGAUCCAGCCAUGCCGCGUGAGUGAUGAAGGCCCUAGGGUUGUAAAGCUCUUUCACCGGAGAAGAUAAUGACGGUAUCCGGAGAAGAAGCCCCGGCUAACUUCGUGCCAGCAGCCGCGGUAAUACGAAGGGGGCUAGCGUUGUUCGGAAUUACUGGGCGUAAAGCGCACGUAGGCGGAUCGAUCAGUCAGGGGUGAAAUCCCAGGGCUCAACCCUGGAACUGCCUUUGAUACUGUCGAUCUGGAGUAUGGAAGAGGUGAGUGGAAUUCCGAGUGUAGAGGUGAAAUUCGUAGAUAUUCGGAGGAACACCAGUGGCGAAGGCGGCUCACUGGUCCAUUACUGACGCUGAGGUGCGAAAGCGUGGGGAGCAAACAGGAUUAGAUACCCCAGUAGUCC
RNAcentral lists this ribosomal RNA (447 nucleotides) under uncultured organism. RNAcentral's name for it is "partial 16S ribosomal RNA". It matches the Rfam family "Bacterial small subunit ribosomal RNA", at positions 332 to 796 of the family's 1533-position model. The record is from RNAcentral.